Molecule: ribosomal RNA, 262 nt
Filed under: uncultured bacterium
Lineage: Bacteria
Description: partial 16S ribosomal RNA
Rfam family: Bacterial small subunit ribosomal RNA
Source: RNAcentral
GUCCACGCUGUAAACGAUGGGUACUAGGUGUUCGGGUAUUGACCCCUGAGUGCCGCCGCUAACGCAUUAAGUACCCCGCCUGGGGACUACGGCCGCAAGGUUAAAACUCAAAGGAAUUGACGGGGCCCGCACAAGCGGUGGAGCAUGCUGUUCAAUUCGACGCAACGCGAACAACCUUACCUGGGCUAGACAACGGUGGACCGCCCGAGAGAUCGGGUCUUCCCUUCGGGGACUGCCGGUUCAGGUGCUGCAUGGCUGUCGU